UGAGUAACGCAAACAUUGGUGAGAAUCCAAUGCCCCGAAAAUCUAAGGGUUCCUCUGCAAGGUUCGUCCACGGAGGGUGAGUCAGGGCCUAAGAUCAGGCCGAAAGGCGUAGUCGAUGGACAACAGGUGAAUAUUCCUGUACUAUAGCUUUGUUGGGUCCCGAGGGACGGAAGAGGCUAGGUUAGCCGAAAGAUGGUUUUCGGUUCAAGAGCGUAAGGUGCCCUUUCACGGUAAGAAGGGGUAGAGAAAAUGCCUCGAACCAAUGUUUGAGUACGAGGCGCUACGGCGCUGAAAUAACCCAUGCCAUACUUCCAGAAAAAGCUCGAACGAUCAACCACAAAAGUGUACCUGUACCCGAAACCGACACAGGUCGGGCAUAGUUAGUCAUAAGUCUAAGUGUGGUUUAGAAUAUAAUUAUAAAGAAUUGAUGAAAA
This 434-nucleotide non-coding RNA is filed under the name Ipomoea nil (Japanese morning glory). RNAcentral describes it as "Bacterial large subunit ribosomal RNA". It matches the Rfam family "Bacterial large subunit ribosomal RNA", at positions 1303 to 1721 of the family's 2925-position model. Lineage: Eukaryota; Viridiplantae; Streptophyta; Magnoliopsida; Solanales; Convolvulaceae. The record is from Rfam by way of RNAcentral.